RNAcentral lists this ribosomal RNA (497 nucleotides) under uncultured bacterium. RNAcentral describes it as "partial 16S ribosomal RNA". It matches the Rfam family "Bacterial small subunit ribosomal RNA", at positions 28 to 507 of the family's 1533-position model. The record is from RNAcentral.
GAUGAACGCUGGCGGCGUGCCUAAUACAUGCAAGUCGAGCGAACGGACGAGAAGCUUGCUUUUCUGAUGUUAGCGGCGGACGGGUGAGUAACACGUGGAUAACCUACCUAUAAGACUGGGAUAACUUCGGGAAACCGUAGCUAAUACCGGAUAAUAUUUUGAACCGCAUGGUUCAAGAGUGAAAGACGGUCUUGCUGUCACUUAUAGAUGGAUCCGCGCUGCAUUAGCUAGUUGGUAAGGUAACGGCUUACCAAGGCAACGAUGCAUAGCCGACCUGAGAGGGUGAUCGGCCACACUGGAACUGAGACACGGUCCAGACUCCUACGGGAGGCAGCAGUAGGGAAUCUUCCGCAAUGGGCGAAAGCCUGACGGAGCAACGCCGCGUGAGUGAUGAAGGUCUUCGGAUCGUAAAACUCUGUUAUUAGGGAAGAACAUAUGUGUAAGUAACUGUGCACAUCUUGACGGUACCUAAUCAGAAAGCCACGGCUAACUACGUG